UUGCCCAUUGUGUGGAGCAAUGGAGAGUUGAGAAAGAAGUGGUGAUGCGCCACUGGUGUGAAGUGUCACUGAAGCUCACUUGCAAGCUUGGACCUAUACUCAAUCCAAGCUUGAGGAGGGGAGUUUAGUGAGCUUCCAAGCGAUCCAAGAAGUCCAUUGCAAGCAUCUGAAGAAGGAGCCAUCCGGGCUUAGGCUGUGGCGAGUCUAUUCAAGAGAGUACUCAAACUAAGACAGAGUACUCUUGGCUGUGAGAAGAUGAAGGCAACUCUAUCAAGGCGGCUUCUAGUGUGAAGCGAUUGGAGAGAUAGCUGAAGCUUCCACAAGCAUUCCAUGAAGAUGGCAAGAUCAGAAGAGGAGCGGCAAUGGUGUGUGGUGAGGAUCAUGAAGCAAUCCAUUCAAGCUUGUUCCUGUGAGAGUCUCAGCUUGAGGGGGAGUGUUGAAGCUUACAUGAUCCAAGAGAGCUUGGUGGUUACUCUAGAAGAAGAAGAAGCAGCCAAGACUCAGUAAGAAGAAGUUGUAUCUCCAAAAGAGCUGAUCUGGUGUGUCCGAGCACUUCAACCUAACAAGAGGUUAGGUGAAAGGGGGAGAGACCAAGAUUAGGCAGUAAGGAGAGUACAAGGCGUGGGGUGAUUGUAGAGGCCAUGAUCCAGAGUCUUUGUGUCCCUUACAUUGUUGGUAAGGCACAAAGACUCACUGGCCAAUCCCUAGGCCUUGGAGACUUUACUCUUUUUCCCUCUCAAGGUUUUGUCCCAAAGGGUUUUCCUUGGUGAGGUUUUUAAUGAGGAAGUUCUUCAGGGUUCCAAGCUUGACUUAGGAUCAACUAAAGUCAAGCUUGAGGGGGAGUGUUGAACUGAAGAGAAGAAUGGAGCUUGUGCAUAAAUAGGGGCAAGCUCUUGAAGAUCUUAAGAAGAGUUCUAUGAAGCUUCAGAAGUGAUGAGAAGCUGAUAUAAGGUUGGGACAAUGGCUAAGAAGAGUUCAGACAGAAGUGGAGUAGUCUUUGGAUGAGUUAAGGAGAGAAAGGUAGAUGGUGCAAAGAUAGGGACAGCCAUGUACGGCCAUGUACGGAUGGUACGGCCCGGGAAGGACAUGGCUGAUCCAAAAGAGUUUCUAUCAAGUCUUGGGAUGUUUUGGAGUUGUGCAAAGAUAGGGCGCAAUGUGAGAGAAGCAGCCCUAAUCCGUACACUCAGCUGAUGAAGACUUGUGAUACAAGGCAUGAAGAAGGCUUAGGGCAAGAGAGCAAAGAUCCUAAAGGCAUAUGCUGUCCGAGAUGCUUUAGGAAGUAACCAGGAAGGUGCUGAGCUCUCUUGACCGUUUAUGGAUAAGAAACCUUAUCCAUACAGCUUGUUCAAAUUCAAAUAAGCAAGCUGGCAUGAGCUGUAAAGUAAAGGCAAAGAAGAAGUCAUGUAUCUGGCCAAAGGAGAGGGAAGAUACAUGGAGCUUUAAGAAAAGCAAUCAGGCGCCAGCAAGCAAGAACCAAUCACCAUUCAGCCUUCCUUGACCAGAUCCAAAGCUACAUCCAAGCCAUUCAUUUCCCAAAGUCAUUUAGAGCCAUCAGAUUUAGGUUUAUGAGUUUCAGAGUGUGAAAACAUAUAUAAACUGAUGUAUGGACGUUUUGUAAGCUCUAAGAGAGUAUGGGGGUUUUCCCCAUCUCCUUCAUAAAUAUAAAAGUGUGUUCUUGAUCAGAUUCUUAAUCUACCCCUUUCUUAGUCUCUAAUCUCUUAAUCUCUCUAAGUCUCUUUGUUUCUGAUUCAAGUUCAUACUAGUUUCAUCAGACCUCUUAUUCAACUAGUUCAAGACCUUAUUCUUUGCCUCUAAUGGCUUCUCAUACACAUACACAGCCAGAGCUCUCAAAUCUCAUAUGGUAUCAGAGCCAGGUUCAUCAGAACCUGAGCUGAAGCUUCCGCAAACACACUGCUCUCUCCUCAGCUCAAAUCCAAACCAUUGAAGCUCUCUCCAUCCGGUUCAGCUCCUUAUGAAGAAGAAGACUGAAGCUUGGCGAGUUCUCAUGGUUCCUCAUCCUGUUCUCUUCCUGUCCUGAUGGUGAUUCUCCUUGGAAGCAGAGGUGUAUGGACAAGGCCUAGCUAUCCUUGUACCAAGGCGCCUUGUCCAAGAGAAGAACACAUCCGGUUCCAAAGAAGAUGGUGUCAAGAGCUUGGCGCCUAGUGGAGAUGAAGAAAGGAGGGGUCUUUGAAGCUGAUGGUACAAGAUGGAGGCCAUGAACUGAAGGUGAAGGAGGUGGGUGACGAUCCACACUCUCAAGUCCAACAAAGCAUGGCCGGUUUCAUGAAAGGUUAAGGAACCAAUCUGGUUCCUUGUGGUAAACGAUUCUUAAAACCUUCUUAAUAAUGAGCAGAUGAUAAUGAUGGGUUGUGUAUUGUGAUAUGUAUUGAUUGUUAAACCUGAGGAUAAUGUGAUUGCUAAAUAUAAUUAGUUGAAUCUGUCCCAGGAUGCUUUAAAGGCUUGUUUAGUGUUUAAAGAGUAAAAUGCUUGCUCCUGUUAAGUAAUGAGUUUGCUAAAUGUGAAAUGAUAUUGUUUGAAGCUCAUGAACUGAAAACAGAUUGAAAGUAAUGCAUUGUCUGAUGUUAAGUGAUGAUAGUAAUGCUUAGCCUAAGUUAUAAAUGAAUGUGUGAUGAAUUGUAUUGUUGCAUUCAUGAAUUAAAACUGAUUAAGGUUAGUGCAUACUGUCAAAUGGCUGUCUUACAUUGAAGCAUUAGAUUCAUGUCUAAAUGCUGAGUAAAGAAGCUUUAAAAAUUGCCUAAGUAGCUUGUAUUGAAUCUGUUAGGAUCAUGCUAGUGCUUAGAGAGUUUGCUUGCAAAGAUUAGAACUUGAAAAUGUCUAGUUUAAUCUGUUGCAUUGCUUAAAGACAUUGGUGUUCAAACUUGAUGAUGCAUCAAGGGUUGACCCAAUGCACUUGUGUCUUAUCUUUGCUGGAGUUUGAGUGAUGUUUCAGGUUCACAAGAGGUGUUCUUGGUUCACCAUCCAUCCGAGUUGAAAGAGGAAGACUUUGCCCAUUGUGUGGAGCAAUGGAGAGUUGAGAAAGAAGUGGUGAUGCGCCACUGGUGUGAAGUGUCACUGAAGCUCACUUGCAAGCUUGGACCUAUACUCAAUCCAAGCUUGAGGAGGGGAGUUUAGUGAGCUUCCAAGCGAUCCAAGAAGUCCAUUGCAAGCAUCUGAAGAAGGAGCCAUCCGGGCUUAGGCUGUGGCGAGUCUAUUCAAGAGAGUACUCAAACUAAGACAGAGUACUCUUGGCUGUGAGAAGAUGAAGGCAACUCUAUCAAGGCGGCUUCUAGUGUGAAGCGAUUGGAGAGAUAGCUGAAGCUUCCACAAGCAUUCCAUGAAGAUGGCAAGAUCAGAAGAGGAGCGGCAAUGGUGUGUGUGUGAGGAUCAUGAAGCAAUCCAUUCAAGCUUGUUCCUGUGAGAGUCUCAAGCUUGAGGGGGAGUGUUGAAGCUUACAUGAUCCAAGAGAGCUUGGUGGUUACUCUAGAAGAAGAAGAAGCAGCCAAGACUCAGUAAGAAGAAGUUGUAUCUCCAAGAAGAAGCUGAUCUGGUGUGUCCGAGCACUUCAACCUAACAAGAGGUUAGGUGAAAGGGGGAGAGACCAAGAUUAGGCAGUAAGGAGAGUACAAGGCGUGGGGUGAUUGUAGAGGCCAUGAUCCAGAGUCUUUGUGUCCCUUACAUUGUUGGUAAGGCACAAAGACUCACUGGCCAAUCCCUAGGCCUUGGAGACUUUACUCUUUUUCCCUCAUCAAGGUUUUGUCCCAAAGGGUUUUCCUUGGUGAGGUUUUUAAUGAGGAAGUUCUUCAGGGUUCCAAGCUUGACUUAGGAUCAACUAAAGUCAAGCUUGAGGGGGAGUGUUGAACUGAA
This 3864-nucleotide long non-coding RNA is filed under the name Brassica rapa (field mustard). Its description in RNAcentral is "long non-coding RNA (BRAP_LNC008794)". The record is from RNAcentral. Lineage: Eukaryota; Viridiplantae; Streptophyta; Magnoliopsida; Brassicales; Brassicaceae.